GCGGGAGUAGCACAGUGGUAGGGCAUCUGCCUUCCAAGCAGAAGACGCGGGUUCGAUUCCCGUCUCCCGCU
RNAcentral lists this transfer RNA (71 nucleotides) under Patescibacteria group bacterium. Its description in RNAcentral is "tRNA-Gly". It matches the Rfam family "tRNA". Rfam says of the family: Transfer RNA (tRNA) molecules are approximately 80 nucleotides in length. Their secondary structure includes four short double-helical elements and three loops (D, anti-codon, and T loops). The record is from RNAcentral.